This 504-nucleotide ribosomal RNA is filed under the name Arabidopsis thaliana (thale cress). The record is from RNAcentral. Lineage: Eukaryota; Viridiplantae; Streptophyta; Magnoliopsida; Brassicales; Brassicaceae.
UCCAAAUUUUGACCUUAAUGUACUUUUUCGGGCCUUUUCGUGAUCUUUGCUAUAUUACGGGGCGAAAAUUAUAUGUUCGGACAUUGUUUUCGAAUAUUUUGGAUGUAUCAAAGCUCUUAUAAACAAGAUAGGGUAUUCCUACAUAGCUGGUGGGACCCACGGCAAAUGGAUCAUAAAGUCUUCAAAAAAGAAUAGAUACGAUUGCAUUGCAUGUAGUAACGGAUGCGAUCAUACCAGCACUAAUGCACCAGAUCCCAUCAGAACUCCGCAGUUAAGCGUGCUUGGGCGAGAGUAGUACUAGGAAGGGUGACCUCCCGGGAAGUCCUCGUGUUGCAUCCCUCUUUUUUCUGGUUUUCUCUUUUUUUUUUGUUAAAAAUGUAUGACUCUAUAACUUUUAGACCGUGAGGCCAAACUUGGCAUGUGAUACCUUUUCGGAAAGCCCAAAGAGAGCUCUCCGAUGAAUGAGGAAGGAAAAUGGAAUUCUUCUAUUGUUUUUUUUUCUAC